AUACGGAGGGGGUUAGCGUUGUUCGGAAUUACUGGGCGUAAAGCGUACGUAGGCGGCCCGGCAAGUGUCUUGUGAAAGCCCCCGGCUCAACCGGGGAAUGGCUAGGCAAACUGCCGGGCUCGAGGCAGGUAGAGGCGACUGGAACCUUAGGUGGAGCGGUGAAAUGCGUAGAUAUCUAAGGGAACGCCAGUGGCGAAAGCGGGUCGCUGGGCCUGUUCUGACGCUGAGACGCGAAAGCGUAGGGAGCAAACGGGAUUAGAUACCCCAGUAGUCC
RNAcentral lists this ribosomal RNA (274 nucleotides) under uncultured bacterium. Its description in RNAcentral is "partial 16S ribosomal RNA". It matches the Rfam family "Bacterial small subunit ribosomal RNA", at positions 523 to 796 of the family's 1533-position model. The record is from RNAcentral.